UCCGUUUUUAAAAUAAUAUCAUUGGCUCACAAAAUUAUAUUAUUUUGGUUCAUUUGUUUACUACUAACUAAAUACAGAUAACUUGUAAAAGGAAAAAUCUAUCAAAAGAAUAAAAUUUAAUUAAACGGUGUCUUAAAUGUUUUGUGCAAAUUUAAAAGGAAGAAAAUUUUAGGUUUAUUUGAUUAUAAAAAUAAAAUGUUAUGUA
RNAcentral lists this unclassified non-coding RNA (205 nucleotides) under Hevea brasiliensis (rubber tree). The record is from RNAcentral. Lineage: Eukaryota; Viridiplantae; Streptophyta; Magnoliopsida; Malpighiales; Euphorbiaceae.